This 98-nucleotide ribosomal RNA is filed under the name Klebsiella pneumoniae. Its description in RNAcentral is "partial 23S ribosomal RNA". The stretch from base 1 to 86 matches the Rfam family "Bacterial large subunit ribosomal RNA", at positions 2840 to 2925 of the family's 2925-position model. The record is from RNAcentral. Lineage: Bacteria; Pseudomonadati; Pseudomonadota; Gammaproteobacteria; Enterobacterales; Enterobacteriaceae.
AAAGACGAUGACGUUGAUAGGCCGGGUGUGUAAGCGCAGCGAUGCGUUGAGCUAACCGGUACUAAUGAACCGUGAGGCUUAACCUUACAACGCCGAAG